RNAcentral lists this long non-coding RNA (1693 nucleotides) under Monodelphis domestica (gray short-tailed opossum). RNAcentral describes it as "lncRNA (ENSMODG00000032065.2)". The record is from RNAcentral. Lineage: Eukaryota; Metazoa; Chordata; Mammalia; Didelphimorphia; Didelphidae.
GAAACCCUGAAAGUAUGCAGGUUUCUGUGAGUUUUGUUUUGAGUUGGCUAUGUCUCUGACACAUCAAGUGAGUCAUUUGUCAGAGAUGAACCCAGAUGAGAAUCUGGAUGGUAUUUCAUGCAAUACCAGUACUCUGAAUGUAGGGGACAGUUUAGAAUCUUUUCAGCUUCCCUAAGUUCUACUGGAUCUUAUCUUUCUGACUUGGAGAAGGGUAGGGUGAGGUGAUGUAUGUACAACUUCUUUAAUGCUAGAAAUGGUAAAAAUAGGUAUUUGAAGGAAGAAAGAAGGAAAUAGGUAGGCUGGGACCAGACUUUUACAAAAUUCUGAGAUGAGGAACUGAUGCAAAGGGGUUAAGUGACUUUCCCAGGGUCGCACAAGUAGCCUGGCACUCCAUCCAUUGAGCCACCUAGCUAUUUUACAAUAAUAACAUUAUGAAGAAAAUGACUUUGCAAGACUAGAACUAUAAUCAGGGCAAUGACUAACCACAAUUCUAGCAUGCUACCUUACUUCUGCCAGAGAGAUGAUGGACUUAAAAAGUUCUGGAUGCAGAUGAUGGAGCCUUUGACUCAGAGUCUCAACUGGAUGCUGUUAUCAUUCCCACGAGGAAGUCCUGAGAAGCCAGGGUCUCAGGAUGCAUGUCCAAAAGGACUUUGGACUUGGAACUUAGUGGGACUGAUGCCAUAUUAUUACUGAGAACCAACUCAUAGACUGUGCAGGGAGCAGAAGAUUGCAGUUUCGUGGGAUGCUGCCAACUUAUUAGUGGUGUACACUUUCGGUCAGGUGACUAGUGUGAUUCAAGAUCUGUUUGGACUGUGCCUGCUUGGUUAUAGGAAACAGAGGAAGGAGAGUCUUCAGAAGUUUUCUGGGAGAUCUGUGUCAUCUUUUAAGGCUAUUCCUCACCAUCCCUUCCAACUCUGGUUUACACAGCUUCCUCCAAACCCUUUCAUAUCAGUAAAACCAAAUUAUUCUAAACCUGCAAAAUUGCAAGAAUAAGUGUCAUCCACCCCUCUCCUUGCUUCCAAGUUGGAUCACACUUAAUUUAUAACAGUAAAAUAAUAGUGAUUUUAAGAUUUUAAAUUCUAUUACAUCCUCUGGUAACUCAUUCCAGUAGUUAGUGAGCCCAACAAUUUUUUCUGCCUUUAAUCUGAAUCCAGUUCUCUGCAUUUUAAUUCAUUUAAAUUUGUAAUGCUCAUAGAUUUUAAGGGAAAAAAAUGUCAGCAAUAUUAAAGUUGCUGGGGAGGAAAUUCAUUCCUAUUUUUCAUGUUGCUCCAUUAAGGGAUGCCCUUCUCUUUCCUCUCCACCAGUCCAUGGCACUUCUGUCCUUCAAAAUAUUAUUUAAGAUUCCCUUUCUUUAUGAGUCUUUUUGGCAAUGGCUUAUUCCCCCUCCCCUCCAACCCAAUUGAUCAUUUGCCUGAUGAGGAAAUUCGCAUACAGAGUUUACCCUAUAUAAAUUAACUUAAAAAAAUCUUUCUACCUUAGAAUUGAUACAAGCAUCAGUUCUAAGGUAGAAGAUCAGUAAAGGCUAGGCAAUAGGGGUUAAGUGAUUUGCCCAGGGUCACGCAGCUAGUAAGUGUCUGAGGCCAGAUUUGAACCAGGACCUCUUCCCCUUUCUCUAGGCCUGGUGUUUUAUCCACUGAACAACCUAGCUGCCCUUAUAAAUUAAUUUCCAAAAACAUUCAUUUUAGCAAUCAUU